Zonotrichia albicollis (white-throated sparrow) is the source of this 891-nucleotide long non-coding RNA. RefSeq lists it as uncharacterized. The record is from RefSeq and is a predicted model, not a curated record. NCBI's taxonomy places the organism in Eukaryota, Metazoa, Chordata, Aves, Passeriformes, Passerellidae.
CAUGGCUCCAGCUCCUCCUAAUUCCCAGCAAUCAGGUGGGAUUCAGGCUGGUGAGAUCAGCCAACUCCUGCUUUGCUGAACUGCUGAGUGGAGUCAGUGCCUGGGGGAAUGCUCCAGGCUGAGGCAGCACCUUCUGCCCCCACCCUCCCUGCUGCAGCCCCAGAUAAAGAGUUCCAGGAACUGCCCAGCUGAGUUCCAGACCUCCAGCAUGAGGGAAGGCUCCCCAGCCCUCCCAAACAGGACAGCCCUGCCCCAUCCAUGGAGACCAGCCCCAAGAGCAGAACUGGGGGAAUUAAUCCAUGCCAGAACCUCCAGGGCUUUCCAGCCUGACCCAGCCAGUCUGUCCAAACAGGACAUGGAUAGCAAGCUGGGACAGAAAUGCUCUACCCAGUGCUGAUAGAGAGCGGUGGAAAGUGCCAUAUUCAAACACCACACCUGCCCAAGGAAUGCAGCGUCACCUGCGCUCAUUCCCUCAGCAAACCCCGCCAGAGCUGCCUGUGUUUACACUUCACAGGUCUCAAAAAGGUGCUUACAAGCUCGGGGGGCUCUGAGCUGGGCUGCCUCUUCCUCAGAGAGGAAAACCUCUGCUGACUCCGCACUGAAAACCUUCGGAAGGACUCUCUGCUCCGGGAUGCAAAGUGCCUGAAGGAAGAGGUUCUCUUGAAAGGAGUCCUGGUGCCACCUUCCCCUCCACUCCGCUCAUGAGCCACCGCAGUAGUGACUAAAUUUAGUGCUUCCUGCAAGGAUCUCCGCACUGUGCCCAUCCACUGGGUCAUGUGAGUUUGUGCCACUGUCAGUUUGUCUCCAAGGUAAUCCAUUUUUAAUUUUUUUUUUCCAGCAGAGAUGAAAUAUCAAUAUUCAGUAGCAAUUAAAAUAUAUUCUCUUUAACAA